GUCUCUUCGGGGAUGAUUAAACCGGCGCACGGGUGAGUAACACGUGAGUGACCUGCCUUUUAGACUGGAACAACUUACCGAAAGGUGAGCUAAUGCCGGAUGAGUUAUAUAAGUGCAUGUUUAUAUAGGAAAAGUUGGGGAGACCUGACGCUGAAAGAUGGACUCGCGUCCCAUUAGCUAGUUGGUAGGGUAAUGGCCUACCAAGGCGACGAUGGGUAGCCGGCCUGAGAGGGUGGCCGGCCACACUGGGACUGAGACACGGCCCAGACUCCUACGGGAGGCAGCAGUGGGGAAUUUUGCGCAAUGCUCGUAAGAGUGACGCAGCGACGCCGCGUGAAUGACGAAGGCCUUCGGGUCGUAAAGUUCUUUCGACAGGGAAGAAAAUGCCUAUAAGUAACUGUGUAUGUAUUGACGGUACCUGUAUAAGCAGCCCCGGCUAACUCCGUGCCAGCAGCCGCGGUAAUACGGAGGGGGCGAGCGUUGUCCGGAGUGACUGGGCGUAAAGAGCACGUAGGCGGUGUUGUAAGUCAUUAGUCAAAGACUAGAGCUCAACUUUAGUAAGGCUAGUGAUACUAUAAUACUAGAGUAUCAGAGAGGAUUGCAGAAUUCCUGGUGUAGCGGUGAAAUGCGUAGAUAUCAGGAGGAAUACCGUUAGCGAAGGCGGCAAUCUGGCUGGAAACUGACGCUGAGGUGCGAAAGCGUGGGUAGCAAACAGGAUUAGAUACCCUGGUAGUCCACGCUGUAAACGAUGGAUGCUAGGUGUUGGGCUUUUAAGU
Molecule: ribosomal RNA, 776 nt
Filed under: uncultured bacterium
Lineage: Bacteria
Description: bacterial SSU rRNA
Rfam family: Bacterial small subunit ribosomal RNA
Source: RNAcentral